RNAcentral lists this ribosomal RNA (417 nucleotides) under uncultured archaeon. Its description in RNAcentral is "partial 16S ribosomal RNA". It matches the Rfam family "Archaeal small subunit ribosomal RNA", at positions 330 to 747 of the family's 1478-position model. The record is from RNAcentral.
GUGCAGCAGGCGCGAAAACUUCGCAAUACGCGCAAGCGUGACGAGGGAACCCCAAGUACUCUUGCUUUUUGCAGGAGUUUUUGCCAAGUGUAAACAGCUUGGAGAAUAAGGGCGGGGUAAGGCCGGUGCCAGCCGCCGCGGUAAUACCGGCCGCCCGAGUAGUGACCACUAUUAUUGGGCCUAAAGCGUCCGUAGCCGGUUGGACAAGUCCUCCGUUAAAUCCAGCGAUUCAAUCGUUGGAUUGCGAGGGAUACUGUUCGGCUAGGGGGUGAGAGAGGCCAACGGUAUUCCCGGGGUAGGGGUGAAAUCCUAUAAUCCCGGGAGGACCACCAGUGGCGAAGGCUGUUGGCUAGAACACGCCCGACGGUGAGGGAUGAAAGCUGGGGGAGCGAACCGGAUUAGAUACCCGGGUAGUCC